This 449-nucleotide ribosomal RNA is filed under the name uncultured bacterium. RNAcentral describes it as "partial 16S ribosomal RNA". It matches the Rfam family "Bacterial small subunit ribosomal RNA", at positions 29 to 523 of the family's 1533-position model. The record is from RNAcentral.
AGCGAACGCUGGCGGCAGGCCUAACACAUGCAAGUCGAACGGGCUCUUCGGAGCUAGUGGCGGACGGGUGAGUAACACGUGGGAACGUGCCUUUAGGUUCGGAAUAAGCCCGGGAAACUGGGUCUAAUACCGAACGUGCCCUUCGGGGGAAAGAUUUAUCGCCUUUAGAGCGGCCCGCGUCUGAUUAGCUAGUUGGUGAGGUAAUGGCUCACCAAGGCGACGAUCAGUAGCUGGUCUGAGAGGAUGACCAGCCACAUUGGGACUGAGACACGGCCCAAACUCCUACGGGAGGCAGCAGUGGGGAAUCUUGCGCAAUGGGCGAAAGCCUGACGCAGCCAUGCCGCGUGGAUGAUGAAGGCCUUAGGAUUGUAAAAUCCUUUCACCGGUGAAGAUAAUGACUGUAGCCGGAGAAGAAGCCCCGGCUAACUUCGUGCCAGCCGCCGCGGUAA